GGUAUAGGCCAUGCCACCCUGAACGAACCUAAUGUCUGAUCUCGGAAGCUAAGCAGGGUCAGGACUGGUUAGUACUUGGAUGGGAGACCACCUAGGAAGACCAGGUGCUGAAGGCA
Molecule: ribosomal RNA, 116 nt
Filed under: Pteropus alecto (black flying fox)
Lineage: Eukaryota; Metazoa; Chordata; Mammalia; Chiroptera; Pteropodidae
Source: RNAcentral